RNAcentral lists this ribosomal RNA (484 nucleotides) under uncultured bacterium. RNAcentral describes it as "partial 16S ribosomal RNA". It matches the Rfam family "Bacterial small subunit ribosomal RNA", at positions 30 to 507 of the family's 1533-position model. The record is from RNAcentral.
AUUGAACGCUGGCGGCAGGCCUAACACAUGCAAGUCGAGCGGAUUAAUGGAGCUUGCUCCUGGAUUCAGCGGCGGACGGGUGAGUAAUGCCUAGUAAUCUGCCUGGACUUGGGGGAUAACGUCCUAAAACGGGCGCUAAUACCCCAUACGUCCUUUGGUCGACAUUGGAGGAUCUUCGGACCUCACGCUAUCAUAUUAGCAUAGGUCGGCUUAGAUCGUUGGUUGGGUAGAGGCCUACCAAGGCGACGAUCCGUAACUGGUCUGAGAGGAUGAUCAGUCAGACUGGAAGUGAGACACGCUCCAGACUCCUACAGUAGGCCGCAGUGGGGACUAUUGGAGGAUGGGCGAGAGCGUGAUCUAGCGAUGCCGCGGGUGUGAAGAAGGACUUAUGAUGCUAGAGUACUUUAAGUUGGAAGGAAGGGCAGUAAGUUCAUCGCUUGCUGUUAUGACGUUACCAACAGAAUAAGCCCCGGCUAACUUCGUG